This 74-nucleotide transfer RNA is filed under the name Cladonia borealis. It matches the Rfam family "tRNA". From Rfam's summary of the family: Transfer RNA (tRNA) molecules are approximately 80 nucleotides in length. Their secondary structure includes four short double-helical elements and three loops (D, anti-codon, and T loops). Lineage: Eukaryota; Fungi; Ascomycota; Lecanoromycetes; Lecanorales; Cladoniaceae. RNAcentral also lists the same sequence under 3 other names. The record is from Rfam by way of RNAcentral.
GGUCGGUUAACUCAGUUGGUUAGAGUGUGGUGCUAAUAACGCCAAAGUCGAGGGUUCGACCCCCUCACUGACCA